GACGAACGCUGGCGGCGUGCUUAACACAUGCAAGUCGAACGGAAAGGCCCUGCUUUUGUGGGGUGCUCGAGUGGCGAAAGGGUGAGUAACACGGGAGUAACCUGCCCUUGACUUUGGGAUAACUUCAGGAAACUGGGGCCAAUACCGGAUAGGAGCUCCUGCUGCAAGGUGUGGGUUGGAAAGUUUCGGCGGUUGGGGAUGGACUGGCGGCAUAUCAGCUUGUUGGUGGGGUAGUGGCUUACCAAGGCAUUGCCGGGUAGCCGGCCUGGGAGGGUGACCGGCCACAUUGGGACUGAGCUACGGCCCAGACUCCUACGGGAGGCGGCGGUGGGGAGUAGUGCACAGUGGGCGGAAGCCUGAUGCGGCAACGCCGCGUGCGGGAUGACGGCCUUCGGGUUGUAACCCGCUUUCGCCUGUGACGAGGCGUGGGUGACGGUAAUGGGUAAAGAAGCACCGGCUAACUACGUG
RNAcentral lists this ribosomal RNA (468 nucleotides) under uncultured bacterium. RNAcentral's name for it is "partial 16S ribosomal RNA". It matches the Rfam family "Bacterial small subunit ribosomal RNA", at positions 28 to 507 of the family's 1533-position model. The record is from RNAcentral.